This 342-nucleotide unclassified non-coding RNA is filed under the name plant metagenome. RNAcentral's name for it is "partial contains 5.8S ribosomal RNA, internal transcribed spacer 2, and large subunit ribosomal RNA". The stretch from base 1 to 103 matches the Rfam family "5.8S ribosomal RNA", at positions 50 to 154 of the family's 154-position model. The record is from RNAcentral.
GAAGUGCGAUAAGCAAUGCGAAUUGCAGAACCGUGAGUCAUCAGAUUUUUGAACGCAACUGGCGCCGGUUGGCUCUCCAACCGGCAUGCUUGUUUCAGUGUCUCUUUAUCUCAUCACCCAUAUCAUAAUGCGAGAGAUACCCUUCUCUUGCUAAGCUCGAAAGCACUCUGCGCUCUGCGAGCGGCUUCGACUUGUUCGAGGGUCGCACUCAAUGCAGCCGUCACAUUGCUCACAAUGUGAACUCAUUGAGAGCUGAGGCAGUGUAGCGUAAGCUACCAGUGCUUAGUCACACAAACUUUACUUGCAUCUGAAAUCAAGCAGUAUCACCCGCUGAACUUAAGC